AAAACAUUUUUUUCUCAUUUAAAAAGAGUAUCUUUAAGGGCAAAUUAAUUAUUUAAAUAAAAAUAAUAACUACAUUGUAUAGUUAACAUAUGCAGAGGUGAAAUGUAUGAUGAGGAUCACAAAGUAAGGCGGGCAGAAAUGAUAGUUUACUCUUUUAAGUUUCUUACAUUAUAUAUUAUUUGAUAUUUGAUGAAUAUUAUUUGAUGGUAGUCAGUGUUUAAAAGAGGCAUACUGUAAAUCCUAACAAAACUACAAAAUAAAUAAAACUAAACGUUGUUGUUAAUAAAUCACUAGAAAAGAUAAAAUGUAACACAGAUCCUGCAUAAUUCAUCCAAACAAAAUCAGAAAAAGUAGAAAAAAGAAACCAAAAAACCAGGUGGGAUAAACAGAAAACUAACAAGAUAGUAGAUGGAAACAAAACAUAUUGGUAAAAUGGUAAAAAUAUGUCCAUAUUCUAAAAGAAAAUAACCUAACUGAAAUUGCCAACAUUUUGUAAAACUAUUUAUUCACUGAACAUCAAAAAUGGAGAGCUCUUAUCCAAGUCUAAAUUGAUUUAAACUGAGGAUGCUGUCCAUCAUAGUCUUCUCAUUUUCCAGGGUUAGCUCUGGAUGGUACUGCUGCCUCCAAGCAGCAUCAAGAUUUAGGAGGGCUAACAGUGAUCGGACAUAAUAGAGAAAGGCUCAGUCUAGCAGCAGAGCAAACUGGACAUUUUCUCACCAUUUGUUUCACCAGAGAAAGGAAGGGACAGCAACUUGGAGUCUGGAGCUGACGCAGAGGAUGUUUCUUGAUAUCUUCAACUUGAACCUGUCUCACUUGACAGAUUUAUGCUGCCAGAGUGGUUCUUCUAGUAAGAAGCCCCUUGCCAUCAGACACUGCAUUUCACUUGGUGAUUUUCCAGACUCCUCAAAUCUUUUAUGGAAAGAGAGUUUCACCUGCCACCUGGAUCAUUUCCUAUUUUUCUGCAGCCACUUCAGGGCGGGGACCCAGUAUCACGAAGCUGCAAGGUAAAAAGGAUCAAACCUUAACUGCCUACAUGUGCUCACAGGAACAUAAGUGAGUGAGGCUCACCAGCAACCAGGAAGUGAGCUGAGCCUAACAUAUGGGAGAGAUCCUGUCUCAUCUGCAGGGAAGAGCUGCUAUAUAGGAAAGUAUCUGCUCAUUGCUGCCAUGUGGGAAUGCUGGUAUUGCUGGACUUUCUGAUGUUUUAGGAGAAACUGCUGAUCUGUGCAUGAAGUCUGAUAUAUAAAGAUGAUACUAUAUUUAUGUGUCUAUGGAUAAAUAAAUAAUGUCAACUGGUUCCAGAAAAAAAAAACAAAAACAAACAACAACAACAACAACAAAAAACCACUGUGUGGGCUAAACAAGCCUGCUGAUUAGAUUUGGCACAUUGACAGUGAGGUUAAGGUGCCUAAGUGCCUGAAAAACUUAUGUGUUUUUGUUUAUGAGAACAACUUCAGCAAAGUUUCAAGAUACAAAAUCAAUUUACAAAAAUCAGUAGCAUUUCUAUACAUCAACAACGUCUAAGAUGAGACCCAAAUCAAGAAUGAGGUCCCAUUCACAACAGUCACACACACAAAAUAUCUAGGAAUACAGCUAGCCAAGAAGGUGAAAGAUCUCUACAACAAGAUUAUAAAACACUGCUCAAAGAAAUCAGAGAUGACAUAAACAAAUGGAAAAAUAUUACAUGCUCAUAGAUAGUAAGAAUCAAUAUUGUUAAAAUGUCCAUAUUGCCCAAAGCAACUUAUAGAUUCAGUGCUAUUCCUAGCAAACUACCAGUGAUAUUUUUCACAGAAUUAGAAAAAAAAAAAAAACUAUUCAAAAAUCCUAUGGAACUUUUAGAGCCUGAAUAGUGAAAAAUAGGUUAAGCAAAAAGAACAAAACUGAAGGCAUCACGUUACCUGACUUUAAACCAUAUUACAGAGUUACAAUAACCAAAACAUCAUAGUACUGGUACAAAAACAGACACAUGGACCAAUGCAACAGAAUAGAGAGCCUAGAAAUAAAGCCACACACCUACAGUCAUCUGAUCUUUGACAACAUCUACAAAAACAAGCAAUGAGAAAAGACUUCCUGUUCAACAAAUGGUGCUGAGAUAACUGCCUAGCCAUAUGCAGAAGAUUGAAACUGGACCGCCCCCCCCACCCUUUUUUUUUUUUUUUUUUUUUUUUACCAUAUACAAAAACCAACUCAAGAUGGAUUAAAGACUUAAAUGUAAAACCUAAAACUAUAAAAAACCUAGAAGAAAUCCUAGGAAAAACUAUUAUGGACAUAGGUCCUGGCAAAGAUUUCAUGACAAAGAUGCCAAAAGCAAUUGCAACAAAAAGAAAAAUUGACACAUGGGACCUAAUUAAAUUAAUGAGCUUCUGUACAGCAAAAGAAACAAUCAACAGAGUGAAGAGACAACCUACAGAAUGGAAGAAAAUAUUUUCAAACUGCAUCUGACAAACUUCUAAUAUCUAGAAUCUAUAAGGAACUUAAACAAAAUAACAAGCAGAAAACAAACAAUCCCAUUAAAAAUUGGGCAAAGGACAUGAAUAGACACUUUUCAAAAGAAGACAUACACACAGUCAAUAAGCAUGAAAAAAUGCUCAACAUUACUAAUUAUUAAAGAAAUCCAAAUCAAAACCAAAUGAAAUUGGGCAAAGGGCAUGAACAGACACUUUUCAAAAGAAGACAUACACACAAGCCAAUAAGCAUGAAAAAAUGUUCAACAUCACUAAUUAUUAAAGAAAUCCAAAUCAAAACCAAAGAAAUUGGGCAAAGGACAUGAAUAGACACUUUUCAAAAGAAGACAUACACACAGCCAAUAAGCAUGAAAAAAUGCUGAACAUCACUAAUUAUUAAAGAAAUCCAAAUCAAAACCAAAAUGAAAUACCAUCACACUCCAAUCAGAAUGGCUAAUAUUAAAAGGUUAAAAAAUAACAGAUGCUGGUAAGGCUGUGGAGAAAAUAAAACACUUAUACACUGUUGGUGGGAAUGUAAGUUAGCUCAGCCAUUUUAGAAAACAGUUUGGCAAUUUCUCAAAUAACUUAAAAUAGAACUACCAUUUGACCCAGCAGUCCCAUUAUUGGGUAUAUACCCAAAGCAAUGUAAAUUUUCUACCAUAAAUUCACAUGCAUGCAUAUGUUCAUCACAGCACUAUUCACAAUAGCAGAAACAUGGAAUCAAAUGCUCUUCAACAGUAGACUGGAUGAAGAAAAUAUGGUACAUAUACACCAUGGAAUACUACACAGGUUUAAAAAGAACAAGACCAUGUCCUUUGCAGGGACAUGGAUGGAGCUGGAGGUCGUUACCCUAAGCAAACUAAUGCAGGAACAGAAUACUAAAUACUGCAUGUUCUCACUUACAAGUGAGAGCUAAACAUUGGGUACACAUGAACACAGAGAAGGAAACAACAGACUUUGGGACCUACUGGAAGGUAGAGGGCGGGACCAGGGUGAGGAUUGAAAAACUACCUAUUGAGUACUAUGUUUAACACCUGGGUGAUGAAAUAAUCUGUAUAACAAACCCCCAUGAUAUGCAAUUUACUUAUAUAAUAAACCUGCACAUGUUCACCUGAGUCUAAAAUAAAA
Homo sapiens (human) is the source of this 3572-nucleotide long non-coding RNA. RefSeq lists it as uncharacterized. The record is from RefSeq and is a predicted model, not a curated record. The transcript is spliced from 3 exons. NCBI's taxonomy places the organism in Eukaryota, Metazoa, Chordata, Mammalia, Primates, Hominidae.